Triticum aestivum (bread wheat) is the source of this 135-nucleotide non-coding RNA. The record is from Rfam. Lineage: Eukaryota; Viridiplantae; Streptophyta; Magnoliopsida; Poales; Poaceae.
UUAUUACUCCCUCCGUCCGAAAAUACUUGUCAUCAAAAUGGAUAAAAAGAGAUGUAUCUAGAACUAAAAUACAUCUAGAUGGAUCCCCUUUUAUCCAUUUUGAUGACAAGUAUUUUCGGACGGAGGGAGUAUUUG